AGGGUCUUGGAAUAGGAUCAACACAGAAACUCUCUCUUCCACCUCUCCGUCCCUCUCUGUAAUCUACCGUCCCCUCUGCUCUCCCUCCAUUAAGCCCCCGCGCCGUCACCGAGAUAGCUCCGGCGAAUCCACCGUGAUGCAAGUAGCCCACUCUGUUAACCCCAAAUCCUAAUUUUCAUUAGCUCGUCUAAUUUCAGAAUUUGAGUAGUCACUCACUUCCCAAAUUGUUGAAAUUAGAGGUGAACUAAGUGCAAGCACAAGUGAUAGGGGAAAGGGGCAGAUGCAGGGUUGAGUAAGCAAGUAAAAGAGUUUUUGUUGACGUGUGCAUGUAGUGUACGCGUAUUCUAGAAUUUAAUGUUUUUAACUUUAAUAAAUAAUAUUAAUGUGUGCUUAUGUGAUUUUUGUGCUUAUAUAAUGGAGUUUAAAUAUAAUUGUGGGAGACAUGAGACUCCUUUAAUUAUAUGUGAUAAUGUGAAUUAAUCGAAUAGUGAUCAAUUCUGGUGUGGACUAUAUGUUUCAAUGUGACAUGACAGGGAUGAUGAUAUUGAAAGGUAAGAUGGUGGAGAUUGUUGGUGUUAUAUAUUGAAGUUGUGAAUAAGUAUAUGAUAUGCAAAGUGAUGUAAAGACUUAUAUAUGUUGAGCAACUUGAAAAGAGAUGUGAAAUA
This is a long non-coding RNA of Salvia splendens (bonfire salvia), 665 nucleotides long. RefSeq lists it as uncharacterized. The transcript is spliced from 2 exons. The record is from RefSeq and is a predicted model, not a curated record. Lineage: Eukaryota; Viridiplantae; Streptophyta; Magnoliopsida; Lamiales; Lamiaceae.